RNAcentral lists this long non-coding RNA (231 nucleotides) under Gossypium barbadense (sea-island cotton). Its description in RNAcentral is "long non-coding RNA (GBAR_LNC020965)". The record is from RNAcentral. Lineage: Eukaryota; Viridiplantae; Streptophyta; Magnoliopsida; Malvales; Malvaceae.
AAAAUUUCUGUAAAAGAACAAUUAUUAAGUAUUGCGAAGAGAAAUAAAAAUUUCUGUAAAAGAACAAUUAUUAAGUAUUGGCCAAUGACUUUUGAAGUGGAUCAUGUUUUUUCAUCUUUAACGUCGACAUCUCCAUGAGGGUAUACACUCGACUUUGAAUGGUCCAGACCAUCUCAACUUUAAUUUACUAGGAAAUAGUUUAAGUUUAGAAUUAAAGAGCAAGACUUGUUG